This 470-nucleotide ribosomal RNA is filed under the name Proctolaelaps sp. 4 NFS-2015. RNAcentral describes it as "bacterial SSU rRNA". It matches the Rfam family "Eukaryotic small subunit ribosomal RNA", at positions 557 to 1038 of the family's 1831-position model. Lineage: Eukaryota; Metazoa; Arthropoda; Arachnida; Mesostigmata; Ascidae. The record is from RNAcentral.
AAGUCUGGUGCCAGCAGCCGCGGUAAUUCCAGCUCCAAUAGCGUAUAUUAAAAUUGUUGCGUCUAAAAAGCUCGUAGUUUGAAAACUUGCCUUGUCACACAAUUGAUUCUUCUGAAUCUUCGUGUGAUGAGUCAAAUAUCGAUGACUGUUUUUGCCGACUUUACUGUCCGGCUUAUAAGAGUUAUCAAAUAUCACUUUGAUUAAAUUAGAGUGCUUAAAGCAAGUGUUACUUGAAUAUAAAUGCAUGGAAUGAUGGAAUAUGUUGUUGUUCUAUUUGUUGGUUUUUGAACGAUGAAAUGAUUGAAAGGAACUGUUGGGGGCAUUCGUAUUGUUGUGAGAGAGGUGAAAUUCUUAGACCACAGCAAGACGAACUACUGCGAAAGCAUUUGCCAAGAAUGUUUUCAUUGAUCAAGAACGAAAGUUAGAGGUUCGAAGGCGAUCAGAUACCGCCCUAGUUCUAACCAUAACCG